GUGUACACUUGAGCAGCACAUACACUAAAAUUGGAACAAUGCAGAGAAGAUGAGCACGGCCCCUGCACAGAAUAUCAUACAAAUUCAUGAAGCAUUCCAUCUUUUU
Molecule: small nuclear RNA, 106 nt
Organism: Rhinopithecus bieti (black snub-nosed monkey)
Lineage: Eukaryota; Metazoa; Chordata; Mammalia; Primates; Cercopithecidae
Source: Ensembl